CCGAGUUUACAACUCCCAAACCACCUGUGAACCUUACCAUUCUGUUGCUUCGGCGGGACUGCCCUGGGACUGCCCUAGAAUCAGGCCCCCGCCGAGGGACCUAAACUCUCAUGGUUUUUCUUUAGCGGACUUGUCUGAGUGGCUCUAAGCAGAAAACGAAUCA
This 163-nucleotide unclassified non-coding RNA is filed under the name uncultured Hypocreaceae. Its description in RNAcentral is "sequence contains ITS1". Lineage: Eukaryota; Fungi; Ascomycota; Sordariomycetes; Hypocreales. The record is from RNAcentral.